CUUCCCUGGAUUUCCUGCUCAGAUAGAUUCUACCAGGUUGCCUGAAUGUUGAUGAAAAUGAUCUGGACGGCCACAUUCCAUGUUGCGUGUGAACAAACUGGGCACUGGGAGGAGACGCUGAAUUUGGCCCUGGAGUCUGAGCUUUCCUGUCUGCCUCCCCAACUACAGA
This is a long non-coding RNA of Talpa occidentalis (Iberian mole), 169 nucleotides long. RefSeq lists it as uncharacterized. NCBI's taxonomy places the organism in Eukaryota, Metazoa, Chordata, Mammalia, Eulipotyphla, Talpidae. The record is from RefSeq and is a predicted model, not a curated record. The transcript is spliced from 3 exons.